AUUGAACGCUGGCGGCAGGCCUAACACAUGCAAGUCGAGCGGAUGAAGGGAGCUUGCUCCUGGAUUCAGCGGCGGACGGGUGAGUAAUGCCUAGGAAUCUGCCUGGAAGUGGGGGAUAACGUCCGGAAACGGGCGCUAAUACCGCGUACGUCCUGAGGGAGAAAGUGGGGGAUCUUCGGACCUCACGCUAUCAGAUGAGCCUAGGUCGGAUUAGCUAGUUGGUGGGGUAAAGGCCUACCAAGGCGACGAUCCGUAACUGGUCUGAGAGGAUGAUCAGUCACACUGGAACUGAGACACGGUCCAGACUCCUACGGGAGGCAGCAGUGGGGAAUAUUGGACAAUGGGCGAAAGCCUGAUCCAGCCAUGCCGCGUGUGUGAAGAAGGUCUUCGGAUUGUAAAGCACUUUAAGUUGGGAGGAAGGGCAGUAAGUUAAUACCUUGCUGUUUUGACGUUACCAACAGAAUAAGCACCGGCUAACUUCGUG
This 484-nucleotide ribosomal RNA is filed under the name uncultured bacterium. Its description in RNAcentral is "partial 16S ribosomal RNA". It matches the Rfam family "Bacterial small subunit ribosomal RNA", at positions 30 to 507 of the family's 1533-position model. The record is from RNAcentral.